AGUGAGCGCUGGCGGUAGGCCUAACACAUGCAAGUCGAACGGCAGCACAGUAAGAGCUUGCUCUUACGGGUGGCGAGUGGCGGACGGGUGAGGAAUACAUCGGAAUCUACUUUUUCGUGGGGGAUAACGUAGGGAAACUUACGCUAAUACCGCAUACGACCUACGGGUGAAAGCAGGGGGUCUUCGGACCUUGCGCGAUUGAAUGAGCCGAUGUCGGAUUAGCUAGUUGGCGGGGUAAAGGCCCACCAAGGCGACGAUCCGUAGCUGGUCUGAGAGGAUGAUCAGCCACACUGGAACUGAGACACGGUCCAGACUCCUACGGGAGGCAGCAGUGGGGAAUAUUGGACAAUGGGCGCAAGCCUGAUCCAGCCAUACCGCGUGGGUGAAGAAGGCCUUCGGGUUGUAAAGCCCUUUUGUUGGGAAAGAAAAGCAGCAGGUUAAUACCCCGCUGUUCUGACGGUACCCAAAGAAUAAGCACCGGCUAACUUCGUG
This 492-nucleotide ribosomal RNA is filed under the name uncultured bacterium. RNAcentral describes it as "partial 16S ribosomal RNA". It matches the Rfam family "Bacterial small subunit ribosomal RNA", at positions 29 to 507 of the family's 1533-position model. The record is from RNAcentral.